Molecule: long non-coding RNA, 252 nt
Filed under: Elaeis guineensis (African oil palm)
Lineage: Eukaryota; Viridiplantae; Streptophyta; Magnoliopsida; Arecales; Arecaceae
Description: long non-coding RNA (EGUI_LNC016766)
Source: RNAcentral
ACCACGGUAACUUGAAAGUAGUUCACUAUGCUUUGGUGCUAGACUACUUGAAUUUCUAACUCAGGAUCUGAAGGUUUCUAGACACAGUCAAGUAUUUAUGAAGUAGGUGCAUGAGUCAAAAUGAAAUUGAUCACUCCAAAGAAUUGGAGAGAAUACUUUGUAUUUCAAUUUAGUAAGAUCUUGGCCAGGACAGUCCUUGUGAGGAGUCAUAGGAUUUAUUAGGUUGAGACAUAUAAUGAAUGUAUUGUUAAG